Long non-coding RNA from Monodelphis domestica (gray short-tailed opossum), 1434 nucleotides. RefSeq lists it as uncharacterized. NCBI's taxonomy places the organism in Eukaryota, Metazoa, Chordata, Mammalia, Didelphimorphia, Didelphidae. The record is from RefSeq and is a predicted model, not a curated record.
CUCAAAGCACUGAAGCUGGCUCUUUUCAACAUAUUUCUACUUCUCCCCAUUUCUUGUCCCUUAAUAUUUACUCUUUAACUCCUACUGUGCUUUCCUAGGCCCUUCUGCCUAAGUAGAGCUCUUUUCUGAGGCCAUAGACUUAGCCUCUGUAAAACGGUGUUCUUUCAGGUCUACCUCAGGCUGGUCCAGGUUCCCAGACCCAGAGGAUGUUUCUAGUCCUAUGUAGCUUGGGGCACUUCCUUCAUUGUAGUAAGAUCCCUCUUGGUCUCCCCCAUCACCUCUCCCACCCCCUACUCCUUUAUUCCCUCUCCCUGGCUCCACCCUCUACACAACUCGUGGGGACACACACAGGCUCAUUGUUUGUCUGGGGGAAGAAGUUGAUGGCUCUGGGAAGGGCCAGGAAUGGGAAAGGGGUGGGGGUGGGAGCUGGAAUAGGAGGGGCUGGGCAGGCUUCCAGCCCGGCUGGAGAAAGGGUUUGGUUUCCUGAUGACUGAACUUGCAUAGGAAGACGGGCACUGAAAGGAUGGAGAAGAGUUGGUUCCAAGGACAGCUCUCUGCUGCUGGACUCCUGCUGCUCUGGGGACUGUGGGCUUUUUUACUUCCCUCCCACUUCUCCAUUUCUCCCAUCCCUCCCCCACCCCCCUCCACUGCGCGGAACAGGCAGGGGAGGAGGAACAGAAAGACCAGAGGUUCAAGUCCUAAUGAGGUCUCUAGUGAUGCGGAGGAGAUCGUCUUCGCUUGGUCCCCAGCGAAUGGAUGUCCGGGUCUCUGAGCCGAGAGACUUAAAUCGGCUACUCACCUGAUACCUCUAAUGAAUACCAAGGGUUCCACCUGAGAAGGAAGAUGACCUUGGCCUUCUGAUGAAGGGACUCCCUGGAACAGAACAGCAGCAGAGCAAGCAGAGCCCUAUAUAUUGGUCCCAGUUAAUGAGAAGCAGGUGCUUUCCCUCCUCAUCAAAACACUCUCAGAGCAGGAGAUUUGGGGGACAUGCUUUAAGCAAUGCCUAAAAGACAGAACAGGUUAAAAACGUAGUGAAAGGAAACAAGCACAUGGCAGGAAUGCUGUCAUCUAAAUGAACCCUUUCUCCUUCCGAGCUAGAUAUAAUUAUACAAAGAGCUAGGAACUUAUUUUCCCUGGGGAAAUAUAUAUUAGUAAAUUCAUUCAUUAGAGUCUUGAUAGUUUGAUUGCGGAGAUAAGACCAUAUUAGCUAAAGUAAGACUCUGCUUUCGGAUGACAUUUGUUUUUGUAAAUUUAUUAUUUAUCUUAACAUUUUUUUGAAUUCCAAACUCUCUCUCCUUCUCCCACCUUCCCCUACCUAUUGAGAAGAUAAGCAACAUGAUAUCAACCAGACAUGUGAAAUACUGCGAAACAGUUAUAUAUUAGCUGUAUUCUUCCCUCCCCCCUCCCUCAAAUAAAGUGAGAAAAUUAUACUUC